This 110-nucleotide ribosomal RNA is filed under the name uncultured bacterium. RNAcentral's name for it is "partial 16S ribosomal RNA". It matches the Rfam family "Bacterial small subunit ribosomal RNA", at positions 1357 to 1482 of the family's 1533-position model. The record is from RNAcentral.
CUGCGGUGAAUACGUUCCCGGGUCUUGUACACACCGCCCGUCAAACCAUGAAAGUCACCAACACCCGAAGUCCGAUUCGUCGGCCUAAGGUGGGGGGAUGAGUUGGGGUU